RNAcentral lists this transfer RNA (61 nucleotides) under Elseya sp. Daintree R. RNAcentral describes it as "tRNA-Ser". The record is from RNAcentral. Lineage: Eukaryota; Metazoa; Chordata; Testudines; Chelidae.
GAAAGAGAUAUAAUAAAAGCUGCUAACUCUUAUAACUGAGGCUAAAACCCCAGCUCUUUCA